RNAcentral lists this ribosomal RNA (253 nucleotides) under uncultured bacterium. RNAcentral's name for it is "partial 16S ribosomal RNA". It matches the Rfam family "Bacterial small subunit ribosomal RNA", at positions 524 to 776 of the family's 1533-position model. The record is from RNAcentral.
UACAGAGGGUGCGAGCGUUAAUCGGAAUUACUGGGCGUAAAGCGUGCGUAGACGGUUUCGUAAGUCGGGUGUGAAAGCCCUGGGCUCAACCUGGGAAUGGCAUUGGAAACUGGCGACCUAGAGUGCGGUAGAGGGUAGUGGAAUUCCCGGUGUAGCAGUGAAAUGCGUAGAGAUCGGGAGGAACAUCCGUGGCGAAGGCGACUACCUGGACCAGCACUGACACUGAGGCACGAAAGCGUGGGGAGCAAACAGG